AAGGAAUAUCAAGUGCAACAAAGGGUCAACUUACAUAUUUUCCAUUUUCUUGGGGUCCUAGAAUAUGCAUUGGACAAAAUUUAGCCAUGUUAGAGGCAAAGAUGGCUGUGUCUAUGAUCCUACAAAGCUUCUCUUUCGAAUUGUCUCCAUCUGACACACAUGCUCCAUCUUUCUCUCUUUGUGGCUGCUAAAAACUCUUUUCUGGAUGGUGCAAUAAGUCCUAAAAAAUCUAUAUAAAUGCCCCAUAGCAAUGGAUUUAUGAACAAAAAUGGGUUGGUUCAAUUGAGUUUUAUUUAUUCACAUAUGAAGGGAAAACGAUCCAUAGCCCAAUAAUUCUCCCCCUCACGACUGUGUGGAGGAGACCAUCAUCCCGGUGAUCAUGCAACAAUCUUCAACUUCCCUCUAAAAAGUAGCAAAUUCUAAAAUUUUGUGAUUUUAAACUAAAUAUGUGUAUGUAUUAAAAUUCUCUUCGAAUCUCUUGAUUCUUGUUGAAAGUUGCUUUAAGAAUGCAACUGUUUUUUUUCCUUUUUUCUCCAGCAAUAUUUUUUUUAACGUACAAUCCUAGUUAAAUUAGGAGUCCUAUCUUUGGUAGGAAACUAGUUAGUUAUUCUAAUUUUGGUAGAAAUACGUGUUUCUUUGUCCUAUUUUUAGUUGUAAUAACAACUAUCUAAGUUGCUAAGUUGAUGAUCAAUUAUAGUCGGUCUUUCAACAAGAAAAUAAUCUCUCUCUGUCUCUCUACAUAUUCUCUUCUUCAAACUCCAUCUCUGUUUCUGCGUCCAGCUUUAAAUUGAAUUCCUGUGUUAUUUCCCUUUAACAGUUUUAAACCAACAAUUGGUAUCAAAGCUUUAAUCUUAAGGGACCUGUGAGUGUUGUGCAUCAAUCUGAUCUAGUGGAUACCAUGAAUGGAGAAACAAAUUCUUCUUCAAUGGCACCACCAACUUUCGAUAGAGAAAGUUAUCAAAUCCGGGCAGUUAGAAUGCGGAUAUAUCUACAAGCUUUGAAUCUCUGGGAAGCUGUUGAAGAUGAACACGAGAUAGCUCCCUUGCCAGACAAUUCCACGGUGGCGCAGAUUAAAACUCACAAGGAGAGAAAAACUAGGAAAUCAAAGGCAAUGACAUGCUUAUUUACUGUAGUUUCAUCUAAUAUCUUGACUCGUAUCAUGUCUCUACAAUCAGCAAAAGAGGUAUGGGAUUAUCUCAAGACUGAGUAUGAAGGAGAUGAAAGGAUUCGAGGGAAGCAAGUGGUGAAUCUGGUACGUGAGUUUGAGCUGCAAAGGAUGAAAGAAAGUGAAACCAUAAAGGAAUACUCUGACAGACUUCUUAAUUUAGCAAAUCACAUCAGAUUGUUGGGUUCCACUUUCAAUGAUUCAAGGAUCGUUGAAAAAAUCCUAUUAACGGUACCUGAAAGAUUUGAGGCUACCAUAACAACCUUAGAAAACACUAAGAACUUGUCUAAGAUCACACUUGCAGAGCUCUUAAGUGCUUUUCAAGCGUAAGAGCAACGGCGUAUUAUGAGACAAGGAGGAGCUGUCGAAGGUGCCUUACCAGCCAAACAUCACGAUGAUGGACGUUCUAAGAAGAAGAAGAAUAAGAAGUACCAACCAACUGAUGAAGAAGGUGCAACGCACAACAAUAAAAUCAAAACAGGUGGUUUCAAAGGAAACUACCCUCCUUGUAAGCAUUGCAGAAAGCUCGGACAUGCACCUUUCAAGUGUUGGGAGAGGGCUGAUGCUAAGUGCAGUAAGUGCAAUCAGCUUGGGCAUGAAGCGAUCAUCUACAAGAACAAAACUGAGCAGUAAGAUGCAGAGGCUCGAGUUGUUGAUGAACUGGAAGAAGAUCAACUCUUUGUCGCAUCAUGUUUAACAAGCAGUGUCUCAAGCGAAUCGUGGCUGAUCGAUAGCGGAUGCACAAAUAAUAUGACUUGUGAUAAAAAUCUUUUUAAAGAUUUGAGCCCUACUAAAGUUACAAAAGUUAUAAUCGGCCAUGGUGGUUAUAUUCCAGCAAAAGGAAUGGGAACCAUUACAAUUGAAACAUAAUCGGGCACUAAAAUAAUUUCUGAUAUUCUUUAUGUACUCGAUUUGGACCAAAACUUAUUAAGUGUUGGUCAGUUAUUAGAAAAAGAUUUCAAAUGUAUUUCAAAGAUAAACACUGUUUGAUCAAGAAAGCAUCUGAACAAGACCUAUUUAAAGUCAAAAUGAGAGGCAGAAGUUUCUCAUUAAAUCCAUUGGAAGAAGAACGCGGAUUUCACCCGUUGUGUGUGGAGCCACCUCUACUAAAAGAAGAUAUCAGACCUGAUGAUGAAGGCUGGAUUUGUCCUGGUUGUGAUUUCAAAGUUGACUGCAUUGACUUGCUUAAUGAUAGUCAAGGAACCGACCUUUCCUUCACUGACAGCUGGGAGAAAGUAUAUCCCAAGGAAGUUGUUGCUGCGUCUGGGGAGAAUCUAGAUGAUAUUUCUGAACUUCCAUCUGAUGACUUGAAGGAUGAUGACUUCAACCUUGAAAAUCCAGAUGUAAAAAAAAUGAUUUUGAAGUUGAGGCCAGUUCUGAUGAAUCUACAAAGUAUGGGACUUCACAAGCUUCCAAGAAAAACGCUCGUUAUCUAAUGGAAAAGAUAAUCUUGUUAAACUUUAGGAUGCCAAGUCAGGGAUGGAACUUUCGUCAUUUCACGGGCAUAAGAAUACCGUUCUCCGCGUGAAGUGGAAUCAGAAUGGUAACUGGAUUCUUUUUUGCUUCCAAGGAUCAAAUUAUCAAGCUUUAUGACAUAAGGUCUAUGAAGGAUCUUGAGUCAUUCCGUGGGCAUUAGAACGAUGUGAAAUUAUUGGCCUGGCAUCUGUUUCAUGAAGAAUAUUUAGUCAGCGGAACCUAUGAUGGUUCAAUAUUUCAUUGGCUUGUGGGUCAUGAAGCUCCUCAAGUAGAAAUUACAAAUGCACAUGAAACUGGUGUUUGGGAUCUUUCAUGGUACCCAAUUGGUUAUCUCCUUUGCAGUGGCAGCAAUGAUCAGACAACAAAGUUCUGGUGCAGAAAAAGGCCUGGCGACUCCGCUCGUGAUAAAUUCAAUCUAGGACAGCAAGGUUUGGGUGAUCAAAACAAUGUUCUUGGUCGCAUGCCUGGUAAUUUUCCAGGUCUUGAGUCCCCCUCAACUCGUGGAGCAUUUACCUCCGGUAUAUUAAAAACUGAGGGUACAAUACCUGGAGUUGGAACUGCAGUGCCUCUGUCUAUCCCAUUACUUGAUUCAUCACCUCAAGGAGAACAGAAGACUUCAAUGCCAAUUUCAAUGCUUUUAGGAGCUCCUCCUUUUUCUCAUGGUCCACAUCCAUCUCUUCUUGCAAGUAAUCAGCAACAAGAGUAUCAACAAAAUAUGCAGCAAGUUCAGCAGCAGCAGUCACUACCUCAACAAAUGACUUCUCUUCUUCUGAAGCCUUCAAAUUUGCCACAGUUAGAAGACCUGUUCACUAAGCCACUUCCAAUCAGCAAGUUCGAGCUUCUAAGGCAAAGAAUUGGUGUUUGCAUUUCAUAAAGCAAGGAGGAGUGUUGAAAGUUGCUUUAAGAAUGCAACUGUUUUUUUCUUUUUCCUUCAGCAGUUUUUUUUUACGUACAAUCCUAGUUAAAUUAGGAGUCCUAUCUUUGGUAGGAAACUAGUUAGUUAUUCUAAUUUUGGUAGAAAUAGGUUGUUUCUUUAUCCUAUUUUUAGUUGUAAUAGAAACUAUUUAAGUUGCUAAGUUGAUGAUCAAUUAUAGUCGGUCUUUCAACAAGAAAAUAAUCUCUCUCUGUCUCUCUGCAUAUUCUCUUCUUCAAACUCCAUCUCUGUUUCUGCGGCCAGCUUUAAAUUGAAUUCUUGUGUUAUUUCCCUUUAACGGUUAUAAACCAACAAUUCUAAACAUGUGAUGUGGGAUGUUGAAAAUAAAUACUCCGUCCAUUUCAAUUUGUUUGUCUCACUUUCCUUUGUGUCUUUAUGGAAAAGAAUAUCUACUCUUUUUUGGAAACAUUUUGAUUUCAAUUUUUCACAUUUUGUGUUCAAGACCAUAAGCUUAGAGAACAUUUUGGUACUUUUCACUUAUUUUUAUGAGCCUUCGUCCUGUUGUUGUUUUAUAAAAUUUCACAGUGAGUCAUAUGCCCAAAGUAGUUCCUGUGCUCACACUUGAUUACUGUUAACAUAUAUUUUCUCUUCUAGAUUCUCCGUGAAAUGUAUUGCUAUGAAUUCCCAUGAUUAUGUAUGAGUUGUUGCCCUAUUGCUAUAUAUUCACCAUAUCUUCGACGAAAUCAUAAUUCAUCCAAUAUGUAACUGAAUUCUAUAACUCGAUUAGCUUGACUUCGGUAUGAACAAAGAAGGAAACUAAAUAGUCGUGCAGUGGAUCAAGAAAACAGAAUAGUGCUACAGUGAAGCCAAAGGAAAAAAAAAUAGAACUGCAUCUCAAAAAAAAGGGUAGGUACUUCAAUUUUCUCAUUUUUACUUGUAUAUUUUGGUGUAUUAUAAAGAUAAUACGUGAACUGAAGUAUAAUUUAGAAUAAAAUUAUAUGUCAGGACCCAUAUUCUCCCCAUAGGAUUACAUUUUCAUAUUGUCUAUUAGAUUAUGGUUUAUGCGGUUGAAAGAUCUAUUUAUAUGAAUUGAUCAUCAAAGGCUGAGAAGAUUCAUUUUUUGAUGGGACUGGUGCACUGAGCAUCUAAAGAUGUUGAGCUCAAAAAAUAUUUGUACAAUAUUUCUUCUAAAAGGUUAGUCAUUUUAUCAAUAAGUUCAGGUUAACAACAACAGUCAUCUCAGCCCCAACAGCAAGCUCAGGCACGACAACAACUUAACAGCUCAGCCACGACGACAACACCUUCAAAGCAUGUAUCAAAGUAAUAGCUUUUGGAAAUAUCCAAUCUUUGUAUAGUAAAAGAGUAGGUAUACCACCUUGUCACCCGCAAAUGCCUCCUAUUUCGUCAUAUUCUCAGAUCCCUUUAACCAGGCCAUGGGAUAAACAAACGAGUAUGCAGAAUUUUUGUAAUCCAAGGCUAUCACAUUCACGAUCUUUAUCACAACCAGCUGUUCUUUGUUGAAGAAAAUUUGUUCUAUAACAGGUUGAUCCACAAAGUUGAUACUGUAAUUGAAACGGACAGGAAUAAGCAAUACCACAAAACGAAAGAAAAUAAGAAGAACACACAGAUUUUACAUGGAAAUCCUUGACAGGAAAAACUAGGGGUAGAGGAGGAGAAGAUUCACUAUGAUGAAGAGGAAUACAUGGAGGAGACGAAGGUUUCAAUGAUGUAUAUAAACUACCACAAACAACCCACUAAAUCACACUUAUAUAAUACGUGCGUACAAAUAAAUCCUAAGUCCAAAAAAUCUCAAACAUGGAUCGCAUCGCAAACUUUUUAGAGCCGGGUCAACAAAAUUCGGGUCACAAACUCUAACGGAUACAAUGUCCUUUAUAAUUGGAAACCAUCUCAUCAAUGUGUGUGGUUGCAUCCUUUGCUGUUUUUGUUAAACUCGUGUUUCAUUUGUUGAGCAUUACGUUCCUAAUGUAAGGAUUCUCACACACCAAAUGGUUCUUUGAUACCAAAUUUAGUGUAUAUUUUGAUGAAAUUGUUACUCAUGCAAUAAAGAGGAUAUAUUAAUUUCACUCGACAAGGAACAGAACAACUUAUUAUGUUCGUUUUACUGUCUAGGCACAGGACUUGGCGUAUGGAGGCCAGAGGGUACUUUAAUAAAGUGUAAGUCUCAUGCAAUUUCGGAAAUUGGGUAGUUGAGCAUCUUGUGAUUUUAUUAUUUACCCUGCUUUUUUUUUUUGAGGUCUGAGUCAUUUGUGCGUUAUAUGCAGGCUUCAUGUUGUUGCAUCAAACACCGUUAAUUGAAACAAAUGAUUCACUGCUAUUGUUCCUCUUUCUUCUUUUGUUUUGUUUGUGGGAGGUUUUCGUUAUAAUACAUGAGAUGGAAAAGCAGUCCUGAUUCUUCAUAAAUAGAGCCGUAUCUGCAAUUUCAGAUAAUAAUAAUGAAAUCCAUCUCUGUCCUAUAGUGCUCAAUAAUUUGGGCCAAAAUUGAAAUUGACGUAAUAUAAAAUAAUUUUUGACAAGAAAUCAUACCCGACAUAUAAUAGACAUGCAGCUUAUCUUUGCUCUUUUUAUCAGAUGAUAAAUUCAAAAAUAUAUGGCAGCAUGUUGUUCAGAAGGUUUGUAGAGAAAAGGAAAUCCUGAUUUUAUUGAUUGUAACAGGAAUCCAAAUCUAGAAAGGAUGUGUCCGGAUCACUUGAGCUGAUAAAAAUAUGUAUCCUCUCAAUGCAACAACUACUGCCAACAAAGGAUUAAACAGACAUUAAAAAUUCAAAUGGAACAGAACCUCUCGCUGCACGCAAUAGCGGAAAGCAAUACCGAACAGGCAUGGAUUGUGCUCACUUCCCUGCUCCUUCAACCCUAUAAUUGAAACAAGGAGUGCAAUUUGGAUAAACUUAGUAAUUUUGAAUUUAUCGAACCCAUUAUCCAGAAGGAUUUUGAUAUAGGAUUCAACUAGCAUAGGACAUUGUCUCGAUUGCAACAAAUACAUUUUUAUAUGGCCAUUGAUCAAAUAUCUCUCAACCUUGUGAUGCAUCAAAUUUCUUCAUUUAUGUAAAUAAGAUAUGCAUAAUUACAUAGUAAAACUUGAUUUUUCUACUUAUAAUUCUAACUGAUACAAUUUAGCUUAUAGUACAUAAACAUCUUGCUUUGAUAUUGAGCCUGUGCAGACACGGACCGCACACCUCUAGUCAUUAAUAAACAUGUGCCACUAUCAUAAUAAAAAAGUUGUGAAUAAUUAAUUAAAAUUUGAAAGAAAAUGACUCUUUGAAGUUUUUUUUAAGAAAAUCAGCCUAAUGCGCUAAGCUCGCGUCGUACACAAGGUUCGGGGAAGGGUUCGACCACUAGGGUAGUCUAUUGUACGAAACAUCACCUUAUAUUUCUACAAUGAGUCAUUCCACGACUUGAACCUAUGACCUCCUGGUCACAUUACAACAACUUUAUCAGUUACUUCAAAUCCUCCCCACUUUUUAAUUUUUUUAAAAAAUAAUUUUUAAAACUUGAAGUUGUGUUUAAACUUUAAACGGGAAAAUUUCAUCCAUGAUCACUUAACUAUGUAUCUAUUACUCAAAAGUCAUUUUUCUUUCAUUCAUUUCAUCCAUAGUCAUUUAACUUUACUUUGACCAUCACAAAAGUCACUAUGAUCGGAUUUUACAAUAAUUUCAUCGAAAAAAUGAUGUGGCAACCUUAAUUAAUUCUUAAUUUAAAUUUAAGUGAAUAUAUAAUAUAUUACUCAUAUCUUGACCCUUUUUACAUGUGCACAACACAAUUUUCCUUAUGGACUAUUUAAUGAAAGAAUACUAAUUUCUUGAUAGAUUAGAUUGCCUAGACUAUUUUAUUAAAAAAAUUUAGUUGAUAUUUUUAUGAAAUAAAAUUAUACUUAUAUAUUCUUAAAAUUCUCUAAAGUUGAGACAUGUGUUGGUAAAUUAUUUUUUCCUCUAAUAUGAUGGUAUGUAGUUGAUAAAAUUAUUUUUCUCCCUCUAAAAUUGUGACAUGUAGUUGACAAAAUAAUUUUUUUCAUACAUUUUUUUUCUCACCACUUGAGUCUUUGCAUUCGGUAUAUCAUAAUAAGAUGAUAAACUACUCUAUUUAUUGAGUUUAUCUUUAUAUUUUUAAUUGUUUGACUAAUCGAUUAAUUCUCUUAAAAGUUUUUAUUAUAAGAUUCAAUUUCUUAUGAAUUACAUAUUUUUAAUUAAUUUAAUUGAUAAAUAUAAAAAUUAGAUAUCCUAUAAUUUCUUUAUCUAUUAAAGUACUUAUAUUUUAUAACUUUUAUUAACAAAACUAUACGUUAAUAUAACAUUAUUUGUAAAAUUUUGACAAUACUUAUUCAAUGACACAAUUAAAAAAAAUGAUUUUAAAACUAUCUUUAGCAUGUUGAUUUAUCUUCAAAGAAUUAAAAUAUUUUUUUUUAAAAAAAUAAUAUCAUACAAGUAUUUCUAUUUUAUGUGUUUUGAAGAAUUUAUCUUAUUUAUCACUCUUUUUCGAUGCACCUUUUUGGUAGAUGAAUGCAAUAUUAUGAAAUAUUUCAUAAAAAUAACAAUCAAUUUUUUCUAUGAAAAUAGUCUAUUAAGAAAUUGGUAUUCUUUCAUUAAAUAAUCCAUAAGGAAAAAUUGGGUUUGCACAUAUAAAAAAGAUCAUAUUAUAUAUUCACUUAAAUUAAAAUUAAAUUUCUUUCCUACAUCUUAACUAAUGCAGCAUUCUGUUUUUCUGUUUUAUGUAAAACUAUUUCAAAAAUUUUUGCCAACAAAGAGGAACAGAAGAAUGAAGCAAAUAAACAAGGAUGUUCGGUCCUCAAUUCGAGGUAUUAUUGAUAAAAGAUUGAAGGCAAUGGAAGCAGGGGAGGCUGACAAUAAGGAUCUUUUAGGCAUAUCGCUUGAAUCAAAUUUUAAAGAAAUUGAACAGCAUGGGAACAAGAAGUUUGGAAUGACCAUUGAAGAAGUCAUUGAAGAAUGCAAGCUAUUCUAUUUUGCUGGCGCAGAAACAACAUCAGUACUACUCGUAUGGACUCUGAUGUUGUUGAGCAAAUAUCAAGACUGGCAGGCACGGGCCAGAGAAGAAGUCUUGCAAGUGUUUGAGAGUCGUAAACCAGAUUUUGAUGGAUUGAAUCGUCUAAAAGUUGUGAGUAUUGUGGUUUUAUUGGUUCAAUUUAUCUGCCAUGAGUUUCUACUCUCAUUGUUAUUGCAAUUGCUUGAGUUCUUAAAUUUUUAAAGUUGGGACUUUCUGAUACUAAUUUGAUAGCGGACCAGGGAGGGGGUUGGGGGGAGUAUUUUUCCAAGCGCAUGUGAAUUUAUUUUGAUCAUAGGUGGGAUGAGACUUGAACUUAAGAUUUCUAUGUUGGUUACAGGAUAGUGCAGUACUCCACCUGUAGAAAAUAGUGUAACAACAAAAUUGAAAAGAGCUUGGCGAGUAGCCCCAUAAUUUCAGGAUAAGGGUCGCCUCCUCACAGAAAAAGGUCGCAGCGAUCAGGCCCAGAAGACUGUUUACCAAAAAACACAGGUCUUGGCAGAGUCAUAAAACCAUGUAUAUAUGGGACGUCUUCCCACUCUUGAAGGUCAAAGAAGUUAGUGACCUGAUGAUAAGGGAGUAGGCGACCAAAUCCCCGGUGAACAGUGUCCAUAAGCCCGUAACUGCAAUAUUAAAUUUUACAUGUCUCAUUCAUUCUAGAUAUAAUUGAAGGAGGAGCAUUUUUAUGGCAGGUCAGGAUGAUCUUGUACGAAUCAUUAUGACUGUAUCCCCCAGGAACAUCAUAUAUCCGGCGGCUAAUAAAGACAUUGUUUUGGGAGACCUGUCUAUACCAGCUGAUGUACAAAUCUCUUUGCCAGUGCUCUUAUUGCAUCGUGAUAAAGAGAUAUGGGGUGAAGAUGCAAGAAUGUUCAAUCCAGAGAGAUUUAAAGAAGGAAUAUCAAGUGCAACAAAGGGUCAAGUCACAUAUCUUCCAUUUUCUUGGGGACCUAGAAUAUGCAUUGGACAAAAUUUUGCCAUGUUAGAGGCAAAGAUGGCUUUGUCUAUGAUCCUACAAAGCUUCUCUUUCCAACUGUCUCCAUCAUACACACAUGCUCCUCAAUCCAUAAUAACCUUGCAGCCUCAGUUUGGUUGCCCA
Molecule: long non-coding RNA, 9624 nt
Filed under: Capsicum annuum
Lineage: Eukaryota; Viridiplantae; Streptophyta; Magnoliopsida; Solanales; Solanaceae
Description: long non-coding RNA (CANN_LNC012132)
Source: RNAcentral